Molecule: ribosomal RNA, 579 nt
Filed under: uncultured Gammaproteobacteria bacterium
Lineage: Bacteria; Pseudomonadati; Pseudomonadota; Gammaproteobacteria
Description: bacterial SSU rRNA
Rfam family: Bacterial small subunit ribosomal RNA
Source: RNAcentral
ACGGGUGAGUAAUGCAUAGGAAUCUGCCUUAUAGUGGGGGAUAACCCGGGGAAACUCGGGCUAAUACCGCAUAAUCUCUACGGAGCAAAGUGGGGGACCUUCGGGCCCUACGCUAAAAGAUGAGCCUAUGUUGGAUUAGCUAGUUGGUAGGGUAAAGGCCUACCAAGGCGACGAUCCAUAGCUGGUCUGAGAGGAUGAUCAGCCACACUGGGACUGAGACACGGCCCAGACUCCUACGGGAGGCAGCAGUGGGGAAUAUUGGACAAUGGGCGAAAGCCUGAUCCAGCAACGCCGUGUGUGUGAAGAAGGCCUUCGGGUUGUAAAGCACUUUUAGUGGGGAAGAAAAGCUCAUGGCUAAUAUCCAUGAGUGCUGACGUUACCCACAGAAAAAGCACUGGCUAACUCUGUGCCAGCAGCCGCGGUAAUACAGAGAGUGCAAGCGUUAAUCGGAAUUACUGGGCGUAAAGCGCACGUAGGUGGAUGCUUAAGUCGGAUGUGAAAUCCCCGAGCUUAACUUGGGAAUUGCAUUCGAUACUGGGCGUCUAGAAUAUGGUAGAGGGAAGUGGAAUUUCUGGUGUA